Molecule: ribosomal RNA, 441 nt
Filed under: uncultured bacterium
Lineage: Bacteria
Description: partial 16S ribosomal RNA
Rfam family: Bacterial small subunit ribosomal RNA
Source: RNAcentral
CCUACGGGUGGCAGCAGUGGGGGAUAUUGCACAAUGGGGGGAACCCUGAUGCAGCGACGCCGCGUGGGUGAAGGAGUAUUUCGGUAUGUAAAGCCCUAUCGGCAGGGAAGAAAUUGGACGGUACCUGACUAAGAAGCCCCGGCUAACUACGUGCCAGCAGCCGCGGUAAUACGUAGGGGGCAAGCGUUAUCCGGAUUCACUGGGUGUAAAGGGAGCGUAGACGGCCAUGCAAGCCAGGGGUGAAAGCCCGGGGCCCAACCCCGGGACUGCCCUUGGAACUGCAUGGCUGGAGUGCGGGAGGGGCAGGCGGAAUGCCUGGUGUAGCGGUGAAAUGCGUAGAUAUCAGGAGGAACACCGGCGGCGAAGGCGGCCUGCUGGACCGCGACUGACGUUGAGGCUCGAAAGCGUGGGGAGCGAACAGGAUUAGAUACCCGGGUAGUC